GACGACUAUAUUUGGCACUGGGGCAUGUAAGUACACUGGGGACAUAUGUGGCACUGGGAGCACAGCCCUAGCAACAAGGACUACCUCCUAGCAACGAGCAUGACACCCAGUGCAUGAAACACCUGGCAACGAGCAUGACACCCAGUGCAUGAAACACCUGGCAACGAGCAUGACACCCAGUGCAUGAAACCCCUGGCAACGAGCAUGACACCCUGAGCAUGAAAACCCCUGGCACCGUGCAUGGAACCAAGAGCAUGAAACCCCUGGCAACGAGCAUGACACCCAGUGCAUGAAACCCCUGACAACGAGCAGCUACCAUAGUUACCGGAGCGACGACGGGGUGAAGCGCACUGCAGUUGUUGCAGAGUGAUGGCGUUACCUUUCCCCGUCGGCGUGACUGAGCAGAUGGGUGAGCGCACGUGAAAGGGUGAAGGUAUAAAGACCCUCAUCGUGAAACAUCUUAAAGGGAAACCUCGCCUCCCCAUGCUGGAAGUCAGGAUUACCCAGAAACCUCAGAAACAAGGAUUUAUGUCUCCCCAAGUUUCCGGAUCUUCUCAAGGAGUGCCAAAGGCGAUAGACCGACCACAGAAGGGGAUUAUCUUGUAGAUCCCGAUCGCAGUCUGCCUCCAUACAGUGGAGGAAGUUUGUCAAGUUUUUAGAUUUUAUGAAUUGUGUCUCAAGAUGUGUAUUUGCAUAAGUGUCUGUGUCGUUUAACCAGUCUCUCAAGAACCUCAAUAAAGAUGCUUGGUUAUAAAGCAAAACAUUCGGGAAAUUAAUUCCGCCAUUAGAUUUUGGUUGUUGUAACUUAUGCAUGGCAAUACGAGCUCUCUUGCCUUUCCAGAUAAACUGCCGGAACAGUUUAGUUAUAAGGGACAGAUCUGAUCUACUAAGCAAUAUUGGGAGGGAUUGCAAAAUGUAUAAUAA
Pseudophryne corroboree (corroboree frog) is the source of this 924-nucleotide long non-coding RNA. RefSeq lists it as uncharacterized. The transcript has 3 exons. Lineage: Eukaryota; Metazoa; Chordata; Amphibia; Anura; Myobatrachidae. The record is from RefSeq and is a predicted model, not a curated record.